Lutra lutra (Eurasian river otter) is the source of this 2255-nucleotide long non-coding RNA. RefSeq lists it as uncharacterized. Lineage: Eukaryota; Metazoa; Chordata; Mammalia; Carnivora; Mustelidae. The record is from RefSeq and is a predicted model, not a curated record. The transcript has 3 exons.
CUUGCUCCUCAGAAAGGGGAAGCUGGAGGGUGACGGCGGAAAGCGGCCCUUCUCACCCUGGCAGGGGACGCCCCAACUUCAGGUAACAGGGCAGAGGGGAGCCGAAGGCCUAUGGGGGCAUCCGUUAUGCAGAGUCUGAGCUCAGACAGGGACAGGACCUGAGACGUGCCGAUACACCCCAGAACUUUCCAGAACCUCAUCUGCCUUCUCUCCGAGCUCUACCAGCCUUUGGAGCUCCUGCACCCAGAGAAGACCAGCACCCCAUCAGAAACGUUACCAUGCUGAGUGACCCUGAGUCAUUGGAGCAGGUCACACUGGGCCAACCCAUAGAAAGCUGGGGGAGAUUGGAGCCACUCGAUGGAAGGCGCCUGGGCCCCCCCACGUGACUGUGUGGAGCCGAGCACCCAUCCAGCCCACAUCAGGCUCAGGCACGAGAGAGAAGUUAACCUCUAUAGUGUGGGAAGUCACUGAGACAUACUGUGGGUUUUUGGUUUGCUGGAGCCCCCAGGGCCCGCAGGAGGCUGAUGGAAUGAGGGCCACCCAAGGCAGGAGCAGCUUCCUGUGGCUUCACAAGCAGCAGAAGGAGAGGAAGAAGAGAACAGGAGAGGAACAAAGAAGGAGAGGAAGGAGAGAGCAGAUGCUUCCUUACAGGGGCAUCUGAGGACCUCCAGGACUCCGGGGGCCUUAGUGGGUAGGGGGAUGGGUCCCAUGGUACAAGUGAGUCACAGGGCCUGCACAGAGCUGCAGCAGUGGCCAGGGUUCUCUGUGAGCCAACAGCUACAGCCCUGAGAGCCCAGAAGGCCAAGGAGACCCAAAGCUGCACAUCCAGUGACAAUCCACCCCCUCAUCCCCAACUUUGCCCUUUCCUCUGAACACUACAGGAAAUACUGCCACCGGCUGCCCCAAAGUUCUCCUUGAAGAUAUGGCAGAGUCUUGUGUUGGGAACGUGGGCAAUCUGGAGUUGCCUCCCCAUUGCACAACCAGCUUGCUCCGGACAUUAGCUUUUGGACUCUGUCAAGCCUAUGUGCGAGUGCGUGCCUCUGGGUCUCUUCUAAGGACACUGCUCAUUGAACCAAGAUUUAAAUCACAUGAGCUACCUGCACCCCAUUCUCCUAUCCAUGGGUGGGGGCAAUGGAGCAGGCUUCUAAGAUGGCCCCGGUGAACCACGGCCUCCUGGCGUUCACACCCUCAUGCGGUCCUUCCCCCUUGGAGCCAACCCCGUGAUUCGACUGUGGCAGAGAUGUGCCGGUUUCAGGUCUGGCCUGUCAGAGGGCUGCCAGCUUCAGCUGCUUCCUCCUGGACCCUGCACCUUGGGGAGCUCUGUGCCCCAUCUCCAAAACCCAGGUUCCCUCCAGGGAGAUGACCCAAGAGGCACUCUUGGACUGCAUGGAACAGAGAGAAGCCCAGCUGUCUCAGGGUCCAAUCAAGCCCACAGAUGACAGCAGCCCAGCCACUCUCUGGAGGUUUGCAGUGGAAUCAGAAGAACUGGCCUGCUGAGCCCAGCCAGCCCAGCAUAACGGGCUGGCGAUAUCAUCAAUAAUAGGCUGGCUGUUUGGGGCAAACAGUUUAAUUGGCAGUGGAGAAAGGAAAUUGUAGGAUUCACCCUCCACCUCCCUCGGGGCUGAAAUCUGCAGAAAACCACUUGUGAAACGUCAGUGGAAGAUGACCCUAAGAAGCACCUUAAGCAAGGCCCUGGGGUAGGAUGCUCUUUGGGGAGGCUCUCUUUUCCAGCCUCCUCUAAUCUGCUGUCCUUUCUUCAAUAUUUGGAACAAAGAAUUGUGGAAUUGUCAGAAGCAGCAGGACCCCCAAGAGACUGCAAACUUGGGCCCUACAGGGACACUGGGCUGUGUGGGGACAAUAAGCCUGCUCCUCUGUCCUGUCCCCAUCUGGGACUCCUUCAAAGCCCUCGCAUCGCUGCUGAGGGUGUCCAGGCCAGAGAAGUGGCCUUCCAGGGCUCAGUGCUCCAGGCUGAACCCUGGCUGGGCAGAGAGAGAGGGGCAGGAGAGCCGGCCCCCACUCAGCAUCCUGUCCCCUCUGGCUGCAAGCAUAGCUGGAUGAGGGCUGAUGGGCUGUCACGAUUGUCAUCUGCCCUGGCAACAAGUCAAGGCUGUUACUGAGAGUGCCAUUGCCAUGGAAACCGUGAGUCAGGGCUGCGCUUAGCAGAGCCACACUUGCCAGGGGCUCUCAGAGCCUCUCGUCUGCCAACGCGAAAUGCAGGCCCAGCACACAGCAUCUCCUUGGGACUCAUUAACAGG